GGGGAUGAAUUGGAUUCGACGUAGAUGAGGAUGGUUGGAACUGCAUCUCGUGCUCUCCGCGUAGCACGCUAAUAAAGCGGAAAAUCGAUAAGUGCCAACUACAACUACGCACUGGCUGCAUAAUUAAUGCAACCCAUCCGCUGUGAUCUCGCCCGAUGGAUCACAAACGGGUGUCGCUUUAGUCGGGAUUGUCCCGUGGUUUUCUCAGGAUCAUGGGAUGAAAUUAUACUGAGAUAGUAAAUGAGAUAUGUGACCGUUCCGUAUUUUAUUUACGAGAGUUAUGAGCGGUCUAUUGAUGUAGAUGUUCCAAUGGUCUUCUCUUCGGACCGGGGUUCGAUUCCCCGCAUCUCCACAU
Molecule: transfer-messenger RNA, 355 nt
Filed under: Bacteroidota (CFB group bacteria)
Lineage: Bacteria; Pseudomonadati
Also listed under: 1 other name
Description: f SZUA-254 X1 Standard tmRNA
Rfam family: transfer-messenger RNA
About the family: Bacterial tmRNA, also known as 10Sa RNA or SsrA, is named for its dual tRNA and mRNA-like properties. Its role is to liberate the mRNA from a stalled ribosome.
Source: RNAcentral